Molecule: ribosomal RNA, 253 nt
Filed under: uncultured bacterium
Lineage: Bacteria
Description: partial 16S ribosomal RNA
Rfam family: Bacterial small subunit ribosomal RNA
Source: RNAcentral
UACGAAGGGGGCUAGCGUUGUUCGGAAUUACUGGGCGUAAAGCGCACGUAGGCGGAUUGUUAAGUUAGGGGUGAAAUCCCGGGGCUCAACCCCGGAACUGCCUUUAAUACUGGCAAUCUCGAGUCCGAGAGAGGUGAGUGGAAUUCCGAGUGUAGAGGUGAAAUUCGUAGAUAUUCGGAGGAACACCAGUGGCGAAGGCGGCUCACUGGCUCGGUACUGACGCUGAGGCGCGAAAGCUAGGGGAGCAAACGGG